Patiria miniata (bat star) is the source of this 103-nucleotide long non-coding RNA. RefSeq lists it as uncharacterized. The record is from RefSeq and is a predicted model, not a curated record. The transcript has 3 exons. NCBI's taxonomy places the organism in Eukaryota, Metazoa, Echinodermata, Asteroidea, Valvatida, Asterinidae.
GCUGCCAAUGUCAAGUCAUCAUGGGAAGCUAUGGCUGAGGGUCUUGUCAGCACGCUUAACAGAUAUGAUAAACUAGGAAACCCAUAUGUAUCAUUAGCUAAUU